CCAGAGAGGUUCGAAAAGAUGUCGUCGAAGGUCGGAAGUCGGUAGAAUCCCCAGAGGAUCACUCCUGACACGAUCUUCGGCUGGGGGGGGGGGAUUUUAUACCCAACAACAAGCUUGAUGCUGCAGUUGUGUGUCUAGUUUUUUGACCUGAGGUGCAUCGACAGUUCACCUUGAGUGUGUUAUAGUUUGACUAUACCAUAACUCGAUCUCCUAGCCAUUCGAAACCCUGAGGUGUAUGUUGGCUGUAGCAUAUUCAUUGUAGGAACUAGGUCACACCAAGAUGGGAUCUAUCAAC
This 295-nucleotide long non-coding RNA is filed under the name Elaeis guineensis (African oil palm). Its description in RNAcentral is "long non-coding RNA (EGUI_LNC069442)". The record is from RNAcentral. Lineage: Eukaryota; Viridiplantae; Streptophyta; Magnoliopsida; Arecales; Arecaceae.